GAGGGCAUAGCUCAGUGGUAGAGUGCAUGUCUAGCAUGCACGAGGCCCGGGGUUCUAGCCUCGGUACUUCCA
RNAcentral lists this transfer RNA (72 nucleotides) under Camelus bactrianus (Bactrian camel). It matches the Rfam family "tRNA". From Rfam's summary of the family: Transfer RNA (tRNA) molecules are approximately 80 nucleotides in length. RNAcentral also lists the same sequence under 1 other name. Lineage: Eukaryota; Metazoa; Chordata; Mammalia; Artiodactyla; Camelidae. The record is from Rfam by way of RNAcentral.